UAGCGAUAGGCUUAACACAUGCAAGUCGAGGGGCAGCAUGGUCUUAGCUUGCUAAGACUGAUGGCGACCGGCGCACGGGUGCGUAACGCGUAUGCAACUUGCCUCACAGAGGGGGAUAACCCGUCGAAAGACGGACUAAUACCGCGUACACUCUAUGUUGGGCAUCCAAUGUAGAGGAAAUGAACUUCGCUGUGAGAUAGGCAUGCGUCCCAUUAGCUAGUUGGUGAGGUAACGGCUCACCAAGGCGACGAUGGGUAGGGGAACUGAGAGGUUGAACCCCCACACUGGUACUGAGACACGGACCAGACUCCUACGGGAGGCAGCAGUGAGGAAUAUUGGUCAAUGGGCGAGAGCCUGAACCAGCCAAGUCGCGUGAAGGAUGACUGUCUUAUGGUUGUAAACUUCUUUUAUACGGGAAUAACAAGAGCCACGUGU
RNAcentral lists this ribosomal RNA (435 nucleotides) under Porphyromonas sp. SL2. RNAcentral describes it as "bacterial SSU rRNA". It matches the Rfam family "Bacterial small subunit ribosomal RNA", at positions 37 to 463 of the family's 1533-position model. RNAcentral also lists the same sequence under 1 other name. Lineage: Bacteria; Pseudomonadati; Bacteroidota; Bacteroidia; Bacteroidales; Porphyromonadaceae. The record is from RNAcentral.